AUUACAAAAUUUGAAAAACAUAUCCUAGACGGUGGAUCACUCGGCUCGUGGAUCGAUGAAGAACGCA
This 67-nucleotide ribosomal RNA is filed under the name Cordulegaster boltonii (golden-ringed dragonfly). Its description in RNAcentral is "partial 5.8S ribosomal RNA". Lineage: Eukaryota; Metazoa; Arthropoda; Insecta; Odonata; Cordulegastridae. The record is from RNAcentral.